Molecule: unclassified non-coding RNA, 331 nt
Filed under: uncultured fungus
Lineage: Eukaryota; Fungi
Description: partial contains small subunit ribosomal RNA, internal transcribed spacer 1, and 5.8S ribosomal RNA
Rfam family: Eukaryotic small subunit ribosomal RNA (bases 1-73)
Source: RNAcentral
ACAAACUUGGUCAUUUAGAGGAAGUAAAAGUCGUAACAAGGUUUCCGUAGGUGAACCUGCGGAAGGAUCAUUACCGAAUUUUAAACUGAAGUUGUAGCUGGCCGUUACCACGGCAUGUGCACACUUUGGUUAUCCAUCCUUUACACCUCUGUGCACUCUUCAUGGGAAAAGGGCCGAGAAAGAACUUGCUCACGCAGGUUCCGCACCGCUCUCUCUCUCAUGUUUUUACAUCCACACACAUCAGUCACCGAAUGUACACCGCGUUUUAACGCAUUAUUAUACAACUUUCAGCAACGGAUCUCUUGGCUCUCGCAUCGAUGAAGAACGCAGC